Molecule: ribosomal RNA, 532 nt
Filed under: Bifidobacterium dentium
Lineage: Bacteria; Bacillati; Actinomycetota; Actinomycetes; Bifidobacteriales; Bifidobacteriaceae
Description: bacterial SSU rRNA
Rfam family: Bacterial small subunit ribosomal RNA
Source: RNAcentral
GGGUGGUAAUGCCGGAUGCUCCGGUUGGAUGCAUGUCCUUCCGGGAAAGGUUCCAUCGGUAUGGGAUGGGGUCGCGUCCUAUCAGCUUGAUGGCGGGGUAACGGCCCACCAUGGCUUCGACGGGUAGCCGGCCUGAGAGGGCGACCGGCCACAUUGGGACUGAGAUACGGCCCAGACUCCUACGGGAGGCAGCAGUGGGGAAUAUUGCACAAUGGGCGCAAGCCUGAUGCAGCGACGCCGCGUGCGGGAUGGAGGCCUUCGGGUUGUAAACCGCUUUUGAUCGGGAGCAAGCCCUUCGGGGUGAGUGUACCUUUCGAAUAAGCACCGGCUAACUACGUGCCAGCAGCCGCGGUAAUACGUAGGGUGCAAGCGUUAUCCGGAAUUAUUGGGCGUAAAGGGCUCGUAGGCGGUUCGUCGCGUCCGGUGUGAAAGCCCAUCGCUUAACGGUGGGUCUGCGCCGGGUACGGGCGGGCUGGAGUGCGGUAGGGGAGACUGGAAUUCCCGGUGUAACGGUGGAAUGUGUAGAUAUCGG